GAUGAACGCUGGCGGCGUGCCUAAUACAUGCAAGUCGAGCGAACAGACGAGGAGCUUGCUCCUUCGACGUUAGCGGCGGACGGGUGAGUAACACGUAGGUAACCUACCUAUAAGACUGGGAUAACUUCGGGAAACCGGAGCUAAUACCGGAUAAUAUUUCGAACCGCAUGGUUCGAUAGUGAAAGAUGGCUUUGCUAUCACUUAUAGAUGGACCUGCGCCGUAUUAGCUAGUUGGUAAGGUAACGGCUUACCAAGGCGACGAUACGUAGCCGACCUGAGAGGGUGAUCGGCCACACUGGAACUGAGACACGGUCCAGACUCCUACGGGAGGCAGCAGUAGGGAAUCUUCCGCAAUGGGCGAAAGCCUGACGGAGCAACGCCGCGUGAGUGAUGAAGGUCUUCGGAUCGUAAAACUCUGUUAUUAGGGAAGAACAAACGUGUAAGUAACUGUGCACGUCUUGACGGUACCUAAUCAGAAAGCCACGGCUAACUACGUG
This 497-nucleotide ribosomal RNA is filed under the name uncultured bacterium. Its description in RNAcentral is "partial 16S ribosomal RNA". It matches the Rfam family "Bacterial small subunit ribosomal RNA", at positions 28 to 507 of the family's 1533-position model. The record is from RNAcentral.